RNAcentral lists this ribosomal RNA (397 nucleotides) under Marimonadida sp. RNAcentral describes it as "partial small subunit ribosomal RNA". It matches the Rfam family "Eukaryotic small subunit ribosomal RNA", at positions 582 to 975 of the family's 1831-position model. Lineage: Eukaryota; Cercozoa; Imbricatea; Marimonadida. The record is from RNAcentral.
AUUCCAGCUCCAGUAGCGUAUAUUAAAGUUGUUGCAGUUAAAAAGCUCGUAGUUGGAUUUCUGGCCUGACGAAACUGACCCGCCUCGGUUACGUGUGUGAGUGUCGGGCUUCGUCUGCCAUCCUUCCAGAAAACGUUUCUACCCUUCACUGGGCUGGAUUCGCGAUCUGGAACUUUUACUUUGAAGAAAUUAGAGUGUUCAAAGCAGGCUUGCGCUGUGAAUACAUUAGCAUGGAAUAAUAAUUUAGGACUCAGGUCUUAUUUUGUUGGUUCUUAAGAUCUAAGUAAUGAUUGAUAGGGAUAGUUGGGGGUGCUAGUAUUCAGCGGCCAGAGGUGAAAUUCUUGGAUUCGCUGAAGACUAACUUAUGCGAAAGCAUUCACCAAGGAUGUCUUCAUCA